This 468-nucleotide ribosomal RNA is filed under the name uncultured bacterium. RNAcentral's name for it is "partial 16S ribosomal RNA". It matches the Rfam family "Bacterial small subunit ribosomal RNA", at positions 28 to 507 of the family's 1533-position model. The record is from RNAcentral.
GACGAACGCUGGCGGCGUGCUUAACACAUGCAAGUCGAACGGAAAGGCCCUGCUUUUGUGGGGUGCUCGAGUGGCGAACGGGUGAGUAACACGUGAGUAACCUGCCCUUGACUUUGGGAUAACUUCAGGAAACUGGGGCUAAUACCGGAUAGGAGCUCCUGCUGCAUGGUGGGGGUUGGAAAGUUUCGGCGGUUGGGGAUGGACUCGCGGCUUAUCAGCUUGUUGGUGGGGUAGUGGCUUACCAAGGCUUUGACGGGUAGCCGGCCUGAGAGGGUGACCGGCCACAUUGGGACUGAGAUACGGCCCAGACUCCUACGGGAGGCAGCAGUGGGGAAUAUUGCACAAUGGGCGGAAGCCUGAUGCAGCAACGCCGCGUGCGGGAUGACGGCCUUCGGGUUGUAAACCGCUUUCGCCUGUGACGAAGCGUGAGUGACGGUGAUGGGUAAAGAAGCACCGGCUAACUACGUG